RNAcentral lists this ribosomal RNA (520 nucleotides) under uncultured Paludibacter sp. Its description in RNAcentral is "bacterial SSU rRNA". It matches the Rfam family "Bacterial small subunit ribosomal RNA", at positions 878 to 1397 of the family's 1533-position model. Lineage: Bacteria; Pseudomonadati; Bacteroidota; Bacteroidia; Bacteroidales; Paludibacteraceae. The record is from RNAcentral.
GAGUACGGUCGCAAGACUGAAACUCAAAGGAAUUGACGGGGGCCCGCACAAGCGGAGGAACAUGUGGUUUAAUUCGAUGAUACGCGAGGAACCUUACCCGGGCUUGAAAGUUAGUGACCGUUUUAGAGAUAGAAUUUCGCAGCAAUGCGCACGAAACUAGGUGCUGCAUGGUUGUCGUCAGCUCGUGCUGUGAGGUGUCGGCUUAAGUGCCACAACGAGCGCAACCCUUACCGUCGGUUGCCAGCGGGUAAUGCCGGGGACUUCGAUGGGACUGCCACCGUAAGGUGUGAGGAAGGUGGGGAUGACGUCAAAUCAGCACGGCCCUUACGUCCGGGGCGACACACGUGUUACAAUGGUCGGUACAGAGAGCUGCUACUAGGCGACUAGAUGCUAAUCUCGAAAGCCGAUCUCAGUUCGGAUCGGAGUCUGCAACUCGACUCCGUGAAGUUGGAUUCGCUAGUAAUCGCAUAUCAGCCAUGAUGCGGUGAAUACGUUCCCGGGCCUUGUACACACCGCCCGU